GUGAGGAAUUUUCCGCAAUGGGCGAAAGCCUGACGGAGCAAUGCCGCGUGAAGGAUGAAGGCCUAUGGGUUGUAAACUUCUUUUCUUAGAGAAGAAUAUUGACGGUAUCUGAGGAAUAAGCAUCGGCUAACUCUGUGCCAGCAGCCGCGGUAAGACAGAGGAUGCAAGCGUUAUCCGGAAUGAUUGGGCGUAAAGCGUCUGUAGGUGGCUUCAAAAGUCUCCUGUCAAAAAUCAGGGCUUAACCGUGGGCCGGCAGGAGAAACUCUGAGGCUAGAGUUUGGUAGGGGCAGAGUGAAUCCCCGGUGGAGCGGUGAAAUGCGUAGAGAUCGGGAGGAACACCAAAGGCGAAAGCACUCUGCUGGGCCACAACUGACACUGAGAGACGAAAGCGAGGGGAGCAAAAGGGAUUAGAAACCCGGGUAGUCC
This 426-nucleotide ribosomal RNA is filed under the name uncultured bacterium. Its description in RNAcentral is "partial 16S ribosomal RNA". It matches the Rfam family "Bacterial small subunit ribosomal RNA", at positions 354 to 796 of the family's 1533-position model. The record is from RNAcentral.